Brassica rapa (field mustard) is the source of this 1882-nucleotide long non-coding RNA. RefSeq lists it as uncharacterized. The record is from RefSeq and is a predicted model, not a curated record. Lineage: Eukaryota; Viridiplantae; Streptophyta; Magnoliopsida; Brassicales; Brassicaceae.
AAACUUGUUUUUGCGGUUUUAGCGGGAAAACACGUUUUUGGCAAGAAAACGCCUUUUUGCGUAUUUUUCGGUUUUUGCGGGAAACGAAAUUUUUUGGUUUUGGCGGGAAAAUGAGAUUUUCAGCUUUGGCGGGAAAACGAGAUUUUCGGUUUUAGCAGGAAAACACGUUUUUUUUUGUUUUGGCGGGAAAACACGUUUUUUUGCAAUUUUGGCGGAAAAACGUGUUUUUGUGUUUUGGCCGAAACAUGUGUGUUUGGAGUGUUGGCGUGAAAAGAAGUUUUUUUGUGAUUUUGGCAUGAAAACAUGUUUUUCGGUUUUUGCGGAAAAACACGUUUUUGCAAUUUUGACGGGAAAACACGUUUUUGCAAUUUUGGUGGGAAAAUGCAUUUUUGAGGUUUUGGCGUAAAAAAAUAGUUUUUAGGUUUUCGCGGAAAAGCCCAUUCACAAACUUAGCCCAUAUGGAUCGCUGAUUCCUUUAAUGAAACGCUGUGUUUCGAGCAGGCGGGACACGUGUUGACUCCUCGUGAAGCGACUUUCCUAAGUGGAAUCCUAGGUGGCAGCCUCAGGAGAGAGCAAAACACUCUUUUAUAUAUAAAGAAACAGUUUGUUCUCUUCUCCUUAGGACACCUAGGAUUCCACCUAGAUAAGUCGAGCUUUGUGAGCGCGACACGUGUCCAACCAUCCCAAAAACUAGCGUUUCAUUUAAGUUACAGAUCAUAACUUUGUGACGCCUCCUCUCCUCCUCUGCCUCUCUCCUACGUGAAGUUAUUAAGCACCGUGAUGCCUCCUCUCCUACUUCGUGACAGCUCCGCUCCUCUCCGGCUAUUACGUCUCUACUCUUCCCGUCUCUCUCUCUCGCUCUCCACGUCUGUUCUUCUAUUCCCUCGGAUCUCUGCUCCAUGUCUCUCCACCAUCAGGAGAUCUCUUCUCAUGUCUCUCCAUCUCCACUACCGUUUCUAUCAAUUAAUGUUUGAAUAAUCGAAGUGUGAAGACGAACCAGAGGAUCGAUACGGUGUAGAGGAGCAGAGAGGAGUGUGGAGGAAGAGAGGAGAGGCUGUAUGGAGGAUUACCACCGUCGAAUAGACAAAUCUGGGUUUUGUUUGAGUUUUAUUAGAUCUGAAUUUUGCUCUUAGUUGAAACUCUUGAUGAAUAUUAUUUCUAUUUUUGUAGGUUUGUGAUUUGAGGAUGAUGGGUUAUAUAUAGUUUAUAUAGGCUGGAAAAAGACCAUGGUAAGGAUUUGCCAUGAAGUUUGAUUCUGAUUUUUUCUCUUUUUUUGGUAGAUGAAGUGGAUGGAAAGGAUUUGCCAUGAAAGUUGAAUCUUAUUCUGUUUACUUAAUAGCUUUCUUUAGGAGACAAACUUCGUUUUAAAUUGUAAAGUUUACGGUUUUAUCCAAUGUUUCUGACUUUAGCUGUGUAGAGAAGGAGUGAUCUUUCGAUGUGUUUUAAAGUUCAGCUUUUUAAUGUUGUUCAGGUUGAGUGAUAUGUUUUGUGGUUCACGGCAGGAGAGAGUGAUAUACAGAAAAACUGGAAAAUGGAAAGCGUAGCCAUACCAGAGCAAUUGAUCAAACUCCUCCCUGUUGCAGAGCCUGGAAUAUUUGAUCUGGUGGGUUAUGUCAUCUUCGCCGUGGAAGGAAUCCAUACCAGAGCGUCUUCUACAACGGAAACAUUGAGGUAGUUAUGCAAGGCAAAUGUGGAGAGGCAUGGACUUCGAGAAGACGGAUGUGAUGCACUUGUAAAACUGGUCACAGUCACGAUUCGAAAUGCCUAGCUUGUUGGGAGGAAGAAAAAUAUGAUUAAAAUUCUUGAAAUCAUUAUUGGCAAAUUACUCAAGGGCUAGAUAGUGUAUAGGCAAUAAUUCAAAACUGAAAGUUUGUAGGGCGUU